GAUGAACGCUGGCGGCGUGCUUAACACAUGCAAGUCGAACGGACUUUUAAUGAAACCUAGUGAUUUAAAAGUUAGUGGCGGACGGGUGAGUAACGCGUGGGUAACCUGCCAUAUACAGGGGGAUAACACUUAGAAAUAGGUGCUAAUACCGCAUAAGCGCACAGUAUCGCAUGAUACAGUGUGAAAAACUCCGGUGGUAUAUGAUGGACCCGCGUCUGAUUAGCUAGUUGGUGAGGUAACGGCCCACCAAGGCGACGAUCAGUAGCCGGCCUGAGAGGGUGAACGGCCACAUUGGGACUGAGACACGGCCCAA
RNAcentral lists this ribosomal RNA (313 nucleotides) under uncultured bacterium. RNAcentral describes it as "bacterial SSU rRNA". It matches the Rfam family "Bacterial small subunit ribosomal RNA", at positions 28 to 334 of the family's 1533-position model. The record is from RNAcentral.